RNAcentral lists this transfer RNA (73 nucleotides) under Penaeus chinensis. RNAcentral's name for it is "tRNA-Arg". It matches the Rfam family "tRNA". From Rfam's summary of the family: Transfer RNA (tRNA) molecules are approximately 80 nucleotides in length. Their secondary structure includes four short double-helical elements and three loops (D, anti-codon, and T loops). Lineage: Eukaryota; Metazoa; Arthropoda; Malacostraca; Decapoda; Penaeidae. The record is from RNAcentral.
GCCGCGAUGGCCCAGUGGUUAGAUCAUUGGAUUCCGACUCUCAUGGUCCCGGGUUCAAUUCCCCGUCGCGGCA